Long non-coding RNA from Salvelinus sp. IW2-2015, 191 nucleotides. RefSeq lists it as uncharacterized. The record is from RefSeq and is a predicted model, not a curated record. NCBI's taxonomy places the organism in Eukaryota, Metazoa, Chordata, Actinopteri, Salmoniformes, Salmonidae.
UCAGAGCCUUCUGAAAUUGAUGGUGGGGUUGUUGUGGUGUUGUCGUUACUAUUGUAGCGCUUGUUGCCAUCGUCAUAACAGUUUGGUUGGUGUGGAAGAAAAUUAAAGCAGCUGAAGCCAGUGGAUCCAACAGUCUAAAUAUGAUUCAACGCCUGAGACUAAAGGCAGUGAUGUAGUCCAGCCAGAACAAG